UAAAUCUCUAGGAGGAGUUCGUUAAAGUACAAGGCAUGCAAAUGACAAAAAUUAUGCAAAAUUUGCUCAUAAAAUUAAAAAUAACCGACUUCCUGUUGGGUUUCGGAUAUUGCUCCAAGAGUCUUUUUUGUAGGUACUGAUGCUUUACAUACGUGUGCCAAUUUUCGUGCAUGUACGUGAAACACAGCGGGAGGGCUGUUGAUUUUUUUACGAUAGGUGGCGCUGUCGAGCCAUUUUGCCACACCCUCUUCUGAAACCUAUAUCAGACGUAAAUUUUCACCAGGUCUGACGCGUGUGCAAAGUUUCAGGACUUUUCGAGCAUGUUUAGGCCCUCAAAAAUGCGAUUCAUUUUGGAGAAGAAGAAGAAGAAGAAGAAGAAAAAGAAGAAGAAGAAGAAUAAACAAAGCAGAUACAAUAGGGUCCUCACACCAUCGGUGCUCGGGCCCUAAUAAUAAUAAUAAUAAACAAAGCAG
This is a long non-coding RNA of Cyprinus carpio carpio, 473 nucleotides long. NCBI's taxonomy places the organism in Eukaryota, Metazoa, Chordata, Actinopteri, Cypriniformes, Cyprinidae. The record is from Ensembl.